Molecule: non-coding RNA, 136 nt
Organism: Brachypodium distachyon (stiff brome)
Lineage: Eukaryota; Viridiplantae; Streptophyta; Magnoliopsida; Poales; Poaceae
Source: Rfam
ACACUACUCCCUCCGUCCAAUAAAAGAUAUCUUAAGUUUGUCAAAAUUUGGAUGUAUCUAGACAUGACUUAGUAUAUAGAUGCAUUCAAAUUUUGUCAAAGUUGAGACAUCCUUUAUUGGACGGAAGGAGUACAUG